ACAAACAGUGACCUGAGUUCAGAUCACCAGAACCCAUGUGAAAAUGAGGGUGCCAUGGUGUAUGGCCAUAAUCCCAAAAUUUGGGGUGGAGGCUCCCUGAAGUCUGCUGGCCAGCCAGUGUAGUCAAAUUUGCAACUUCCAGGUUCAGUGAAAGACCCUGUAUUAUACAAUAAGAUGGAGGCUACAUUUGAUACUAUAAUUACUGUCCAUCCUGAUGCCCUGUUGUAAUGUACUCAAGUUUUUCCACUAAUAAUAAAGUGGAGAAUGCUUGAGGGAAAUACCAAUUGGCUUCUACACUCAUGUACACAUAAGUACACAAACAUAUACAUGCAUAUACACAUGAACAUACACACUGAAAAAAACAAAAAGGUCUCAAGAUAUCACUCAAUGGCCAUACACUAGCUUGCAUGAGGCCAUUGGGUUCAAGUCCCAGUGUAAGUACUUCCAAAAGAACACACACACCCCAAAUGCUGAAAGUAAAUGUUAUUAUUUUUCUGCUAGUGAUACAUGUAAUUUAAGAAUAAUGGUUUAAAAUAUUCAUUUAGUUUAUCUUUGUAUGUGCAUUAUAUGUGUGCCUGAGAAAGUCAGAAGGUGCCAUAUCAUGGACUAUCCAGAAACUACCCCACCCAGGGAUCCAUCCCAUAAUCAGCUACCAAACCCAGACACUAUUGCACAUGCCAGAAAGAUUUUGCUGAAGGGACUCUGUUAUAGCUAUCUCGUAUGAGGUUAUGCCAGUGCCUGGCAAAUACAGAAGUGGAUGCUCACAGUUAUCUAUAAGAUGGAACACAGGGCCCUCAAUGGAGAAGUUAGAGAAAGCACCCAAGGAGCUGAAGGGGUCUGCAGCCCUGUAAGUGGAACAACAAUAUGAACUAACCAGUAACCCCAGAGCUCGUAUCUCUAGCUGCACAUGUAGCAGAAGAUGGCCUGGUUGGCCAUCACUGGGAAGAGAGGCCCCUUGGUGUUACAAACUCUAUAUGCCCCAGUACAGGGGAAUGCCAGGGCCAAGAAGCUGGAGUGGGUGGGUAGGGGAGCAGGAUGGAGGGAGGGUAUAGGGAACUUUCCAGGAUAACAUUUGAAAUGUAUAUAAAGAAAAUAUCU
RNAcentral lists this long non-coding RNA (1098 nucleotides) under Mus musculus (house mouse). RNAcentral describes it as "long non-coding RNA chr7:12498749-12499847". The record is from RNAcentral. Lineage: Eukaryota; Metazoa; Chordata; Mammalia; Rodentia; Muridae.